This is a long non-coding RNA of Anneissia japonica, 281 nucleotides long. RefSeq lists it as uncharacterized. The transcript has 2 exons. The record is from RefSeq and is a predicted model, not a curated record. NCBI's taxonomy places the organism in Eukaryota, Metazoa, Echinodermata, Crinoidea, Comatulida, Comatulidae.
UUGGAAAAUUACAAGUUGCUUGCGUCACACUGACAAGUUAGUACUUCAGAUGACAAGUUAUCACGAAUAACGUGCGCAUGUGCAACCGUAUUUUUUCCCCGCUCUUUUCAUCUCCGGACUGUCAGCUAGCUAGCAUUUUCAUUUAAAACGGCCUUUUAACUAACAGGUACUUAAGGAAUUCAGACGAAUUUCGCUGGAAGCUCUUCCCAAAAAACUGAAAUCGGGAAUUCAGAAAUACAAUGAAAAACUUUUCUUAAUUGCUAAACACCAACAUCAAAAUC